RNAcentral lists this ribosomal RNA (467 nucleotides) under uncultured bacterium. RNAcentral's name for it is "partial 16S ribosomal RNA". It matches the Rfam family "Bacterial small subunit ribosomal RNA", at positions 28 to 506 of the family's 1533-position model. The record is from RNAcentral.
GACGAACGCUGGCGGCGUGCUUAACACAUGCAAGUCGAACGGAAAGGCCCUGCUUUUGUGGGGUGCUCGAGUGGCGAACGGGUGAGUAACACGUGAGUAACCUGCCCUUGACUUUGGGAUAACUUCAGGAAACUGGGGCUAAUACCGGAUAGGAGCUCCUGCUGCAUGGUGGGGGUUGGAAAGUUUCGGCGGUUGGGGAUGGACUCGCGGCUUAUCAGCUUGUUGGUGGGGUAGUGGCUUACCAAGGCUUUGACGGGUAGCCGGCCUGAGAGGGUGACCGGCCACAUUGGGACUGAGAUACGGCCCAGACUCCUACGGGAGGCAGCAGUGGGGAAUAUUGCACAAUGGGCUGAAGCCUGAUGCAGCAACGCCGCGUGCGGGAUGACGGCCUUCGGGUUGUAAACCGCUUUCGCCUGUGACGAAGCGUGAGUGACGGUAAUGGGUAAAGAAGCACCGGCUAACUACGU